GUGGGCCUCACCCAGGCCCUCAGCCCGCGUAGUUAGUUGACCGGACGCGGCGACCGCGCUGUCCCACCGUCGCCCCUCGCCUUUCCCCUCCUCCAGAGUCCAGACCCGCACACUUCGCUCCACCAACCGCGCUCACCCGCCCGCGGAGCGAAGCUCGCCGGGGCGUCGCCGGCACCGGUUGCCCGUCAGCGGAACCCGCGGACCACGGAAGAUUUCUGCUUCACGAGUCCAGGAAGAACAACACUGACAUCAAGCAAGUCAUAUUCAGCAGGGAACAGCAGCAUCGUUUUGAUCUGCCUUUUCGCAGGAUACUUGGGCAAUUCAUAGUGGAAACUUCAACUUGUUCAAGGCCUCUCUCUUCACACCAGUACAUCAUUUUACAUCCUUGGAAAUUGUGGAGCGAGCCUACUUGAGAAUGCAAUGUAGCAGGAGUCAUUAGUUUCAGUAAGUUGGAGACUUGCCCUGGAGCUGCCAUACUCGGCUGCAUUGGCCUUUGAUAGAUGGUUUUUUCUCAGACAUCCUCUCUGGCAGUAAAGCUUGCACAAGGACCCAAGCUCUUUACUACAAAGACAAUUCUCCCCAUGGAUCCCCCGGGUGUUGUCUCCUCUGAAAAUGCUGAAUAUGAUUUUUCUGAUGUUUUUGGUUCCAGUCCAGUCGAGACAGCAACAGAACUUUGUGUUGUUGAUCCAGACAGCCCUGCAGCUCCCAUUGAGUCCCCUGAGGAGGUUUAUAAUGAUCCUGCGGUCAUCUUCAAGCGGUCACAUUCUCUUGUUGGCCCAUCAUCACUUGUUAGCUGCUCUUUGGGACUUGGCAAGCUCACUCUAAACAUAGCAGAUGGAUCAUCAGAACUUGUAGGCCACACUACAGAAGAAAAGGAACUUAACCUAGAGCAGUUCAGUGAUGAAGAGUUUGGUGAUGCCGUGACUGAGGAUGAGGGUGUUGGGCUUGAUGACUUUGAAAUCUUGAAGCUUGUAGGCCAAGGGGCAUUUGGCAAAGUCUUUCAGGUGAGAAAGAAGGGUACUUCAGAAAUAUAUGCAAUGAAAGUUAUGAGGAAGGACAAGAUACUGGAGAAAAACCAUUCCGAGUACAUGAAAGCUGAAAGAGACAUACUGACAAAAGUUGACCAUCCUUAUGUAGUGCAGCUGAGGUACUCCUUUCAGACCAAAUAUCGACUUUACCUUGUCCUGGACUUUGUUAACGGGGGGCAUCUAUUCUUUCAGCUCUACAAGCAAGGAUUAUUUAGGGAGGAACUUGCACGAAUCUACACAGCUGAGAUUAUAUCUGCUGUAGCCCACCUCCAUGCUAAUGGGAUUAUGCAUAGAGAUCUUAAGCCCGAGAACAUCCUAUUGGAUGCUGAAGGCCAUGCCAUGCUAACUGACUUUGGCCUUGCGAAAGAAUUCCGUGAGAACACCCGAUCAAACUCGAUGUGUGGCACUCUCGAGUAUAUGGCCCCUGAAAUUAUUCAGGGCCAGGGGCAUGAUAAGGCCGCAGAUUGGUGGAGUGUAGGAAUCCUCCUGUUUGAAAUGCUGACGGGCAAGCCCCCGUUUGUCGGGAACAGAGACAAAGUUCAGCAGAAGAUAGUGAAGGAGAAGUUGAAGCUUCCUCCGUUUUUGACUAGCGAAGCCCACUCGCUGCUGAAAGGAUUGCUGCAUAAAGAAGCCGGCAAGCGGCUGGGAACCGGACCCGGCGGCAGCGACGAGAUAAAGAGGCACAAGUGGUUCAAGCCGAUCAACUGGAGGAAGCUGGACGCCCGGGAGAUCCAGCCGAGCUUCCGGCCCGACGUGGCCGGCCUGACCUGCAUCGCCAACUUCGACGUGUGCUGGACCAACACGCCCGUGCUGGACUCCCCGGCCGCCACCCCCGUCACUGCUGGCGGCGGGCAAGGCAACUUUGCGGGGUUCACCUAUGUCAGGCCCGCGCCGUUCCUCCAUGACCUGAAGCCGCCCUCAAGCUCUAGCUAGCUAGGCUGCAAGUUCGAGGAGCAGGGGCAGCACCAAACACCAAGCAAAGCAGCAGAUUCAGCAAUCAGCAGGUACUACGCAGAUACGCAGGUACUACGCAGAUACGCAGAUUCAGCAAAGCAGCUCUCCACUCCCUGGACAAAUCGAUUCAACAAUCAGCAGCUGCCAAACAGCCAGAAUAACCCACGGUUUCAUGCAAGCUACUACUAAAAAAGAGAUAAUAACAUACCCUGUCACAAAGGAUCACAAAGGCAGCAUUGGUUUUGCAGUCCGACAAUGACACCGGCUACUACGAUGACCACGGUGAAGCCAAGACCAUGGACAAGCUCAACUCCACCUUCUGGCAGGGGGUCGGUCUGAUCGGAUGCGUGCAGUCAGUCGCGUGUCAAGAAGGUGGUGUUCGAUCAGUUCACCGGGGGGACAAACCAGGUUGGGUUCCUGAAGCUGGCCCUUGGGCGAGCGGUGCUGCUGCAAGAGGUGACAGUCAUAAACUGCAGCCGUUGGCUUCCAAGAGAAUGUGGGUCUUGGACAAACCUUCUUUGGAGGUCUGUGGGGGCGCAGCAGGUCACAUUUGGAGGUACAACAGAGCACCUGAUCUUUCUAGCAAAGACCCAUUUAUUUCUUAAGGCAGUCCUGAUGGAGCGUUCGUUAAGUAGCACUUAGCAGCUAGAGCAUCAUCGAUCAUUUGACUGUUUGAGUGACCUAUUUAUUUGUUAAGGCAGUACAGAUGGAGCGUUCAGAGUAAAUAGCAUAAAACGAGUACUACUUUACAGGCUAUGGUUUUAAAAAACUACCGGUUUUUAAUUUUUUUCAGAUAACUACCAAAU
RNA transcript from Triticum aestivum (bread wheat), 2788 nucleotides. It is a transcript of the gene named serine/threonine-protein kinase AtPK2/AtPK19, with no coding region annotated. Lineage: Eukaryota; Viridiplantae; Streptophyta; Magnoliopsida; Poales; Poaceae. The transcript is spliced from 9 exons. The record is from RefSeq and is a predicted model, not a curated record.